This 492-nucleotide ribosomal RNA is filed under the name uncultured bacterium. Its description in RNAcentral is "partial 16S ribosomal RNA". It matches the Rfam family "Bacterial small subunit ribosomal RNA", at positions 29 to 507 of the family's 1533-position model. The record is from RNAcentral.
AGUGAACGCUGGCGGUAGGCCUAACACAUGCAAGUCGAACGGCAGCACAGUAAGAGCUUGCUCUUACGGGUGGCGAGUGGCGGACGGGUGAGGAAUACAUCGGAAUCUACUUUUUCGUGGGGGAUAACGUAGGGAAACUUACGCUAAUACCGCAUACGACCUACGGGUGAAAGCAGGGGAGCUUCGGACCUUGCGCGAUUGAAUGAGCCGAUGUCGGAUUAGCUAGUUGGCGGGGUAAAGGCCCACCAAGUCGUCGAUCCAUAGCUGAUGUGAGAGGAUGUACAGCCAUACUUGAUCUUAGACACGGUCCCGACUCCGAAGUUCUGCAGCAGUCGGGAAUAUUGGACAAUGGGGGCAAGCCUGAUCCAGCCAUACAGCGUGUGUGAAGAAGGCCUUCGGGUUGUAAAGCCCUUUUGUUGGGAAAGAAAAGCAGCAUGUUAAUACCCCGCUGUUCUGACGGUACCUAAAGAAUAAGCACCGGCUAACUUCGUG